AGAUUCUCUGUCCCUUCUUCCACAUGCUUUGUAGCCCCUGACCUUACUAACCUGCCCCCUUAUCUGGCUGCCCUCUCUAUAUCCCCGGGCUUUCUGUGGUGCCCUCUCAGAUGCAUGUGUUUGGGGAGCAUAUGUAUUGUCCCCACAAAUCACUUUCUGCGCUCCAAGAGGGGCUAGUUGUUGUCCAGGACCAGGGCAAGUCUUGGCUAUGGCAAACCAUCUCCUGUCUUUGGUCUCCCAGAAGUCCCUAGGAAAAAUUGUUUUGGUCUCUGCCCCCUACCUAAGAGUUGGUGAACGCAAGGGAGCCCGGCAAAGCAAGCAGACUGCGGAAAGAGCUUGGCCACCCUUCUCCUGCCACCCCCCAGCUCUGGCCUACCCAGAGGUCCCUGGGAAAUAAGGAUUGGGUCCCGUCCCACAUAUCUUCACUCCCAUAAGCAGCUGCUCAGGCUGGAAGGCCCUGGCGGCCGGAGAGGGCAGAGGCGAGCAGAGGCAUAGGGGACGAAGCGCGCAGGGCACAGGGCGCGAGGCGCUGGGUGCAGGGGAACCCAGCAGCU
This 554-nucleotide long non-coding RNA is filed under the name Homo sapiens (human). Its description in RNAcentral is "non-protein coding lnc-TLX1-6:2". Lineage: Eukaryota; Metazoa; Chordata; Mammalia; Primates; Hominidae. The record is from RNAcentral.